AUGGCGGCGGAGCAGAGCGCGGAGCACUUCAGGGGCCAGGCGCGGCUGCCGGGCUUCGCGGCGCCGCGGCGGUACGAUCUGCGCCUCACGCCAGACCUCGCCGCCUGCACCUUCGCGGGCUCGGUGUCCGUCUCCGUCGACGUCGCCGCGCCCACGCGCUUCCUCGUGCUCAACGCCGCCGACCUCGACGUGGCCCCCGGGGACGUGCACUUCGCGCCCAAGGGCUCCGGCCAGGUGUUACUUCCUGUGGAGGUUACCAGUGCACUGGAGGAUGAGAUCUUGAUUAUUCGCUUCAAUGAAGUGCUUCCUCUUGGGGAGGGAACGUUGGUAAUUGCAUUCCAAGGAACUUUGAAUGAUAAGAUGAAGGGUUUUUACAGAAGUGUGUAUGAGCUCAAUGGGGAGAAGAAGAACAUGGCUGUAACCCAGUUUGAACCUGCUGAUGCAAGGCGCUGCUUCCCAUGCUGGGAUGAACCGUCUUUCAAGGCUGUAUUCAAAAUUACUCUUGAAGUUCCGUCUGAGACCGUUGCUUUGUCAAAUAUGCCAGUUGUUGAAGAGAAGGUUAAUGGUCCUACAAAAAUUGUCUACUUUCAAGAAUCACCGAUAAUGUCAACAUACCUUGUGGCCGUUAUUGUCGGCAUGUUCGACUAUGUAGAAGCUUUCACAGCGGAUGGUACUAGUGUUCGUGUUUACACACAGGUUGGUAAGAGUGCCCAGGGGAAGUUUGCGCUAGAGGUUGCUGUGAAGACACUGAUCCUCUUCAAGGAGUACUUUGCUGUGCCAUAUCCUCUCCCAAAAAUGGACAUGAUUGCCAUUCCUGAUUUUGCUUCUGGAGCGAUGGAGAACUAUGGCUUAGUUACAUACCGUGAAACAGCUUUGCUAUUUGAUGAGCGACACUCUGCAGCUGCUAAUAAACAAAGGGUUGCAGUUGUUGUUGCACAUGAAUUAGCUCACCAGUGGUUUGGAAAUCUUGUGACUAUGGAAUGGUGGACACACCUAUGGCUUAACGAAGGUUUUGCAACAUGGGUAUCCUACUUAGCUGCAGAUCGUUUCUUUCCAGAAUGGAAUGUUUGGAUUCAGUUUCUAGAGGAAUCUACAACAGGUUUCAGGUUGGAUGCCCUUGCAGGGUCACAUCCAAUUGAGGUUGAUGUAAAUCAUGUUGAUGAAAUAGAUGAGAUAUUUGAUGCUAUAAGCUAUAGGAAAGGAGCUGCUGUUAUCCGAAUGUUGCAAAGCUACCUUGGGGCUGAGAUCUUCCAGAAAUCACUGGCUGCAUAUAUCAAAAGGUUCGCAUAUUCAAAUGCCAAGACAGAGGACUUGUGGGCUGCCCUCGAAGAGGGGUCUGGUGAGCCAGUGAAAACAUUAAUGCACUCAUGGACAAAGCAGCAAGGUUAUCCUGUUGUCAGCGUAAAACUCAAGGAUGGAAAGCUAGAGCUGGAGCAGACACAGUUCCUGUCAAGUGGGUCUGAAGGAGUUGGGCAAUGGGUGGUUCCCAUCACACUAUGCUGCUGUUCAUACUCAGUUCAGCAAAAGUUCCUUUUCCGUGGAAAACAGGAGGAUUUCAAUUUGUCAGGGCUCGUAGAAUGCCAAAAGAAAGAUGAUUUCUGGAUUAAACUUAAUGUCGAUCAGACUGGUUUCUAUAGAGUGAGUUAUGACGAGGAACUUGCAUCCCGACUUAGGCAUGCAGUUGAGACCAAUAUACUGAGUGCAGCAGACAGAUACGGUGUACUUGAUGACACCUAUGCCCUCUGUAUGGCUGGUAAACAGAAGCUGGUCACGUUGCUGCAUUUGAUUGCUGCGUACAAGAAUGAGACUGAGUAUACUGUGCUUGCACAUGCCAUCAACACAAGCCUGAGCAUAUAUGAGAUGAUGGCCGUUGCUGCACCUGAGGAGUUGGUUAAUAUGAAGAAGUUCCUAAUUGACUUCCUUGAGCCAUUCGCACAGAGAGUUGGCUGGGAUGCCAAGAGUGGGGAGGGUCACCUGAAUGCACUGUUAAGAGGUACCCUCUUAUCUGCUCUAGCGGAACUAGGCCAUCAGUCUACCAUAGACGAGGCUGUCCGUCGAUUUAAUGUCUUUCUGGAAGACAGAGAGACGCCACUCCUCCCACCAGAUGUCCGAAAGGCUGCAUAUGUUGCACUGAUGCAGACCGUGAACAAGUCAAACAAAAGUGGGUAUGAAUCUCUCCUGAAGAUUUACAGGGAAACUGAUCUGAGCCAGGAAAAAGUCCGUGUGCUUGGUUCUUUGGCAUCGUCCCCUGACCCUGAUGUUGUUCGUGAAGCGCUGAAUUUCCUGCUAUCGUCUGAGGUAAGGAAUCAGGAUUGCAUAUUUGUGCUCCGCGGAGUGACUGCAGCAGCGCAUGAGGUGGCAUGGACAUGGUUGAAGGAAAACUGGGACUACAUAGCAGAGACCUUCACUGGACACCUGCUCACCUAUUUCAUCACCGUCACUGUCUCACCGCUCGCCACGGACGAGAAGGGUGACGAGGCAGAGGAGUUCUUCAAGAGCAGGACCAAGGCGAGCAUCGCGAGGACGGUGAAGCAGAGCAUCGAGAGGGUGAGGAUCAAGGCCAAGUGGGUCAAGAGCACCAAGGGCGAGGCCGACCUCGGCAAUGUUCUCAAGCAGCUCGCUCACAAGCAUUGA
RNAcentral lists this ribosomal RNA (2634 nucleotides) under Triticum aestivum (bread wheat). RNAcentral's name for it is "partial small subunit ribosomal RNA". The record is from RNAcentral. Lineage: Eukaryota; Viridiplantae; Streptophyta; Magnoliopsida; Poales; Poaceae.